CUCGAGAUUGCCGACCGCCCUAUGUAGACGAUUACGGUUUCCUCGAUAUGAGCCGGUUUUCCCACGGAGAUCACUCUCCGGGGCCGCGAUAUCGUUCACGGCACGAGCUGACGACAGCCAUGCACCACCUGUCAGGGGCCCUUACGGACACCGUAUCUCUACGGCUUUUCCCCUGAUGUCAAGUCCAGGUAAGGUUCUUCGCGUUGCCUCGAAUUAAGCCACAUGCUCCGCCGCUUGUGCGGGCCCCCGUCAAUUCCUUUGAGUUUUAACCUUGCGGCCGUACUCCCCAGGCGGUCGACUUCACGCGUUAGCUUCGUUACUGAGAGUGUCAAACCCCCAACAACCAGUCGACAUCGUUUAGGGCGUGGACUAC
Molecule: unclassified non-coding RNA, 373 nt
Filed under: uncultured bacterium
Lineage: Bacteria
Description: contains 16S-23S intergenic spacer region
Source: RNAcentral